CCCCAGCACCCUGGUCAAAGUAGGGCACUGGCCCCCAGCACCCUGGUCAAAGUAGGGCACUAGCCCCAGCACCCUGGUCAAAGUAGGGCACUAGUGCCCAGCACCCUGGUCAGAGUAGGGCACUAGCCCUCAGCACCCUGGUCAAAGUAGGGUACUAGUCCCCAGCACCCUGUUCAAAGUAGGGCACUAGCCCCUAGCACCCUGGUCAAAGUAGGGCACUAGCCCCCAGCACCCUGGUCAAAGUAGGGCACUAGCUCCCAGCACCCUCAUCAAAGUAGUGCACUAGCCCCGAGCACCCUGGUCAAAGUAGGGUACUAGCCCCCUGGUCAAAGUAGUGCACUAGCACCCAGCACCCUGGUCAAAGUAGGGCACUAGCCCCCAGCACCCUGGUCAAAGUAGGGCACUAGCCCCCAGCACCCUGGUCAAAGUAGGGCACUAGCUCCCAGCACCCUGGUCAAAGUAGGGCACUAGCUCCCAGCACCCUCAUCAAAGUAGUGCACUAGCCCCGAGCACCCUGGUCAAGGUAGUGCACCAGCACCCUGGUCAAAGUAGUGCACUAGCCCCCAGCACCCUGGUCAAAGUAGGGCACUAGCCCACAGCACCCUGGUCAAAGUAGGGCACUAGCCCCCAGCACCCUGGUCAAAGUAGGGCACUAGAUCCCAGCACCCUGGUCAAAGUAGGGCACUAGCCCCCAGCACCCUGGUCAAAGUAGGGCACUAGCCCCCAGCACCCUGGUCAAAGUAGGGCACUAGCCCCCAGCACCCUGGUCAAAGUAGGGCACUAGCCCCCAGCACCCUCAUCAAAGUAGUGCACUAGCCCCGAGCACCCUGGUCAAGGUAGUGCACCAGCACCCUGGUCAAAGUAGAGCACUAGCCCCCAGCACCCUGGUCAAAGUAGAGCACUAGCCCCCAGCACCCUGGUCAAAGUAGGGCACUGGCCCCCAGCACCCUGGUCAAAGUAGGGCACUAGCCCCCAGCACCCUGGUCAAAGUAGGGCACUAGCUCCCAGCACCCUGGUCAAAAUAGCCCCCAGCACCCUGGUCAAAGUAGGGCACUAGUGCCCAGCACCCUGGUCAGAGUAGGGCACUAGCCCUCAGCACCCUGGUCAAAGUAGGGUACUAGACCCCAGCACCCUGUUCAAAGUAGGGCACUAGCCCCUAGCACCCUGGUCAAAGUAGGGCACUAGCCCCCAGCACCCUGGUCAAAGUAGGGCACUAGCGCCCAGCACCCUGGUCAGAGUAGGGCACUAGCCCUCAGCACCCUGGUCAAAGUAGGGUACUAGUCCCCAGCACCCUGGUCAAAGUAGGGCACUAGCCCUCUGCACCCUGGUCAAAGUAGUACAGUAGCCCUCUGCACCCUGGUGAAAGUAGGGCACGAGCCCCCAGCACCCUGGUCAAGGUAGUGCACCAGCACCCUGGUCAAAGUAGGGCACUAGCCCCCAGCACCCUGGUCAAAGUAGGGCACUAGCCCCUAGCACCCUGGUCAAAGUAGGGCACUAGCCCCUAGCACCCUGGUCAAAGUAGGGCACUAGUCCCCAGCACCCUGGUCAAAGUAGGGCACUAGUCCCCAGCACCCUGGUCAAAGUAGGGCACUAGCCCCCAGCACCCUGGUCAAAGUAGUGCACUAGCCCCCGGCACCCUCAUCCAAGUAGUGCACUAGCCCCCAGCACCCUGGUCAAAGUAGUGCACCAGCACCCUGGUCAAAGUAGGGCACUAGCCCCCAGCACCCUGGUCAAAGUAGGGCACUAGCCCCCAGCACCCUGGUCAAAGUAGGGCACUAGCCCCUAGCACCCUGGUCAAAGUAGGGCACUAGUCCCCAGCACCCUGGUCAAAGUAGGGCACUAGCCCCCAGCACCCUGGUCAAAGUAGUGCACUAGCCCCCGGCACCCUCAUCCAAGUAGUGCACUAGCCCCCAGCACCCUCAUCAAAGUAGUGCACUAGUCCCAGCACC
This is a long non-coding RNA of Oncorhynchus tshawytscha (Chinook salmon), 1949 nucleotides long. The record is from Ensembl. Lineage: Eukaryota; Metazoa; Chordata; Actinopteri; Salmoniformes; Salmonidae.